AACUUUCAGCAAUGGAUCUCUUGGUUCUGGCAUCGAUGAAGAACGCAGCGAAAUGCGAUAAGUAGGGUGAAUUGCAGAAUUCAGUGAAUCAUCGAAUCUUUGAACGCACAUUGCGCCCCUUGGUAUCCCGAGUGGCAUGCCUGUUCGAGCGUCAUUUCACCACUCAAGCCUGGCUUGGUGUUGGGCGACGUCCCCUUUGGGGACGCGCCUCGAAACGCUCGGCGGCGCGGCACCGGCUUUAAGCGUAGCAGAAUCUUACGCUUUGAAGGUCGGGGCCCCGUCUGCCGGAAGACCUACUCGAAAGGUUGACCUCGGAUCAGGCAGGGAUACCCGCUGAACUUAAGCAUAUCAAUAAGCGGAGGCU
Molecule: unclassified non-coding RNA, 364 nt
Filed under: uncultured Cenococcum
Lineage: Eukaryota; Fungi; Ascomycota; Dothideomycetes; Gloniales; Gloniaceae
Description: sequence contains ITS2
Rfam family: 5.8S ribosomal RNA (bases 1-154)
Source: RNAcentral